UUGUGGAGUGAUUUAUCUAGUUAAUUUCCGUGCACCAACAACAAGACCUUGACUUGCUGGUGCAGCGUCGGUUAUGUGGGUAGUUCUUAGAGGGGCGUUGCGUGUUUAACAUAUGGAAGUUCGAGUCAAUACCA
This 134-nucleotide ribosomal RNA is filed under the name uncultured eukaryote. Its description in RNAcentral is "partial 18S ribosomal RNA". The record is from RNAcentral.